Molecule: ribosomal RNA, 429 nt
Filed under: uncultured bacterium
Lineage: Bacteria
Description: partial 16S ribosomal RNA
Rfam family: Bacterial small subunit ribosomal RNA
Source: RNAcentral
CCUACGGGAGGCAGCAGUGGGGAAUAUUGCACAAUGGGGGAAACCCUGAUGCAGCGACGCAGCGUGCGGGAUGACGGCCUUCGGGUUGUAAACCGCUUUCAGCAGGGAAGCGGUACCUGCAGAAGAAGUACCGGCUAUACGUGCCAGCAGCCGCGGUAAUACGUGGGUACGAGCGUUGUCCGGAAUUAUUGGGCGUAAAGAGCUCGUAGGUGGUUGGUCACGUCUGCUGUGGAAACGCAACGCUUAACGUUGCGCGUGCAGUGGGUACGGGCUGACUAGAGUGCAGUAGGGGAGUCUGGAAUUCCUGGUGUAGCGGUGAAAUGCGCAGAUAUCAGGAGGAACACCGGUGGCGAAGGCGGGACUCUGGGCUGUACUGACACUGAGGAGCGAAAGCAUGGGGAGCGAACAGGAUUAGAUACCCUUGUAGUC